CAGUCGCCGCGGGAAUACGUAGGUGGCAAGCGUUGUCCGGAAUUAUUGGGCGUAAAGCGUGCGCAGGCGGUUUUGUAAGACAGGCGUGAAAUCCCCGGGCUCAACCUGGGAAUGGCGCUUGUGACUGCAAAGCUAGAGUGCGGCAGAGGGGGAUGGAAUUCCGCGUGUAGCAGUGAAAUGCGUAGAUAUGCGGAGGAACACCGAUGGCGAAGGCAAUCCCUUGGGCCUGCACUGACGCUCAUGCACGAAAGCGUGGGGAGCAAACAGGAUUAGAUACCCGGGUAGUCCCUGUCUCUUAUAC
Molecule: ribosomal RNA, 301 nt
Filed under: uncultured bacterium
Lineage: Bacteria
Description: partial 16S ribosomal RNA
Rfam family: Bacterial small subunit ribosomal RNA
Source: RNAcentral